GCGAACGUGGCGAAACUGGCAGACGCGCAGGACUUAGGAUCCUGUCCCUCACGGGGUGCGGGUUCGACUCCCGCCGUUCGCA
Molecule: transfer RNA, 82 nt
Filed under: Gemmatimonadota bacterium
Lineage: Bacteria; Pseudomonadati; Gemmatimonadota
Also listed under: 1 other name
Description: Gemmatimonadetes bacterium (bioreactor metagenome) tRNA-Leu
Rfam family: tRNA
About the family: Transfer RNA (tRNA) molecules are approximately 80 nucleotides in length.
Source: RNAcentral